GACGAACGCUGGCGGCGUGCUUAACACAUGCAAGUCGAACGGAAAGGCCCUGCUUUUGUGGGGUGCUCGAGUGGCGAACGGGUGAGUAACACGUGAGUAACCUGCCCUUGACUUUGGGAUAACUUCAGGAAACUGGGGCUAAUACCGGAUAGGAGCUCCUGCUGCAUGGUGGGGGUUGGAAAGUUUCGGCGGUUGGGGAUGGACUCGCGGCUUAUCAGCUUGUUGGUGGGGUAGUGGCUUACCAAGGCUUUGACGGGUAGCCGGCCUGAGAGGGUGACCGGCCACAUUGGGAAUGAGAUACGGCCCAGACUCCUACGGGAGGCAGCAGCGGGGAAUAUUGCACAAUGGGCGGAAGCCUGAUGCAGCAACGCCGCGUGCGGGAUGACGGCCUUCGGGUUGUAAACCGCUUUCGCCUGUGACGAAGCGUGAGUGACGGUAAUGGGUAAAGAAGCACCGGCUAACUACGU
This 467-nucleotide ribosomal RNA is filed under the name uncultured bacterium. Its description in RNAcentral is "partial 16S ribosomal RNA". It matches the Rfam family "Bacterial small subunit ribosomal RNA", at positions 28 to 506 of the family's 1533-position model. The record is from RNAcentral.